AGCGAGAGCAACCAUAUCGCGGUUAGUGAAUCGGCGAAAAACUUUUUCUGUGUGCUGUUUCUUGGAUUCAAGCCUUCCUCCAGAAACUUAAAGAGCGUUUGAUUCAAAUGCAGAAAAAUAUGCUACCGCCUUGGAUCUAGAAAUAAAACUCCUACAUAUACUGGACUCAAUCAGAAGCUCACAAGCAUAUUUUCGGAGCAGACCCUGUCUUGUGUAUAGCUCGCGGUUUAUGUUUUGAGUUUUUCGGCCUCACCAUGCUUUUACGACCACGGACAGAACAUCGAAAACAUUUGUUUAUGAAUAGCUGACGGUGGCGAAAUUUGUGGAGGAAAACAAAUAUCAGCCUAAAUUUUCCUAGAUUUUCUGCAAAAUACCACACCUGGAUCCAGAAGACUGUCUAUUCGAUGCCAUUAUUGCGUUACAGAAUAAAUUAGUGAAAGGAACAUUUCGGGUCUCCGUUGAAUCGGAACCACCAUUUCAUGAAUCGAAGGAGUCAGUUGUUUGUGGCGUUCAUUUGUAACCGGAGUUUCAGGAAUUAUACAUCAGACGUGCUCCCGUGGCCGAGUGGUUAGCGCAAACCUAACAUGCCGGGUGUUCGGGUUCGAUUCCCGUUCUGGUCGGGGAAAUUUUUCUUCAAAGAAAUUUCCUCUGACUUGCACUGUGGUCACGCGUAUUCUAGAGCUUGCCACUCAGAAUGCAUUCAUGGCGUGUUAUUUGGCAUAGAAAUCUCAACUAAGUACUAAUGAAAAUGACGCAAGUAAUACUACGUUGAGACGGCGGAGUUCCUCUAGGAACGUUAGUGCCCAUAUAAGAAGAAGAAGAAGAAGAAGAAGAAGAAGAAGAAGAACAUCAGAUAAUAUACAAUAAAAUUGAAAAGUAAAAGUCCGACCAUAAGUAGAAGCAUCCGAUGAUUCCAAAAUAGCUAUGGAAAUAACCAUAGAAAAUAUAUCGGUUGCUCCUGCUUCAUUCGUUUCACUUGUUAUACUCUUGAUUAUUUUUUUAGCUCAUAGAUCAUGAAUAGAAUGAGAAGAUUGUAGUUUUGCCUAUUGAUCGAUAUGACCAGCCUAAGUACUGAAAAUGACAUAAAACCUUGUUGGCGCUUACCCAAUUAGUCCUACGUUGUGUUUUUACUUUUACAGCUCACUCCGUAGCAGCAAACGACAAAGGCAAGUUCCAGAUUUUUCCUUUUCAGGUCCUUCAGCAGCAGCAGCGACAGCGAACAGCAAGGGAAG
Molecule: long non-coding RNA, 1232 nt
Organism: Toxorhynchites rutilus septentrionalis
Lineage: Eukaryota; Metazoa; Arthropoda; Insecta; Diptera; Culicidae
Exons: 4
Source: RefSeq, a predicted model, not a curated record